This 158-nucleotide non-coding RNA is filed under the name uncultured Prevotella sp. The record is from RNAcentral. Lineage: Bacteria; Pseudomonadati; Bacteroidota; Bacteroidia; Bacteroidales; Prevotellaceae.
ACGGUUCACGUUAUUGUGAUUAAUAGGGAAUCGGGUGAGAAUCCCGUACAGUCCCGCUGCUGUAAUCCUCAUUUAAGAGGUCUGUUUCAUGAAUGCCACUGCAUGUUGUUGGGAAGGCGAGACAGACUGAGGAAAGUCAGAAGACCUGCCUUGUCGUG